Molecule: long non-coding RNA, 704 nt
Organism: Aethina tumida (small hive beetle)
Lineage: Eukaryota; Metazoa; Arthropoda; Insecta; Coleoptera; Nitidulidae
Exons: 2
Source: RefSeq, a predicted model, not a curated record
ACAAUUUUCCCAUUUUUGGUUUGUGUUAUCCACCAACAUUAAUUUAUUUUCUUUUUUUUUAUCACCUUGGAUUUUUGCAAAUUAAACAAAUAAGCUUGCUUGACAAUAAAACUAUUUAUAUAAAAAGUGAAGACGAAAUGUAUUAAUACGUCACUUUGUGUACUUUCAUCAUUUUUGUCAUACACAUUUUUACUAUUGAUAUUAUGGCUUCCUUUUUGGAAUCCUUCUCAGAACCUUUUUGGAACCCACACAGACAAGAAGUACAAAGAACAAACCCCCGACAAAUAUUCCUAAACGUUUUAGCAAUUAUUUUGACAAUAAUCAUAUCAUUUCUGGUAACCGAAUUGGGACCAAGUGUUGGUUUCCUUUUGACACAACCCGAACCUACGAUGCUAGAAAAGUUGAUGGGAUAUGUACCAUUUCAAUUUAUUUUUGCCCAGCCUAAACUUACCUUAGGGCAACGAUUUUACGAAAUGCUUCGUCAUUCUAGAUGCGGUUUCGUUCAGUUGAUGCUCCUAAUGUUUGAAAAGCCUGAGCCCACUUUUAUACAAAGGAUUUCGUGGGGAUGGUUUUAAUGCUAGAUCCCAAAUGUUUAGGUAUUAUAUAUAAAUUCUACAAUUUAAAGAAAAUUAUCGUGAUGGAGUAAACUGAAUUUGUUUUUUAUCAUUGGUUGAACUUUUCCUCAAUAAAUUCAUAGUAUAAUA